UACGUAGGGGGCAAGCGUUGUCCGGAUUUACUGGGCGUAAAGCGCACGUAGGUGGUUUGAUAAGUUGGGUGUGAAAUCCCCGGGCUUAACCUGGGAACUGCAUUCAAAACUAUCAGACUAGAGUAGAGUAGAGGGAAGUGGAAUUUCCGGUGUAGCGGUGAAAUGCGUAGAUAUCGGAAGGAACACCAGUGGCGAAGGCGGCUUCCUGGACUGAUACUGACACUGAGGUGCGAAAGCGUGGGGAGCAAACAGG
Molecule: ribosomal RNA, 253 nt
Filed under: uncultured bacterium
Lineage: Bacteria
Description: partial 16S ribosomal RNA
Rfam family: Bacterial small subunit ribosomal RNA
Source: RNAcentral